CAGUCAAUCUGCUGGGGGCUGAUAAAAUGGAUAUGCGUAUCGAUUCCGCCCGCUGUCACGAUAAGAUUCUCUCCUGCGAGGGCCUCCGUGGACGCUCCCACUGUCAUGCCAGGCGUCACGCCGUCCAUAAUGUCCGGAUUUCCCGCUUUUCCGAUUCCUUUGAUUUUUCCGUCCUUGAUUCCGAUAUCCGCCUUAACGAUACCAUUUACAUCCACGAUCAGCGCAUUGGUAAUCACCAGAUCCAGAUCUCCGUCCGCGCUUUUCGUCUUCACAGACUGUCCCAUACCAUCACGG
Small RNA from Lachnoclostridium sp. An131, 294 nucleotides. It matches the Rfam family "5' ureB small RNA". Lineage: Bacteria; Bacillati; Bacillota; Clostridia; Lachnospirales; Lachnospiraceae. The record is from Rfam.